AAGAUAUUAAAAAGAGAAAAGGCAGAAAGAAUGUGAAUAGUAGCAAAAAUAGGGGUUGAGCAGGGACAACAACUUUAUCUUUCGUUCAGGUGACAGGUGAUUUUUUUGUGAAUAACCUGCUCCAUUUCUCACAGGUUUACAAGAAACAGCUUAAUUGUAUUUCAUUUUCUUGAUUUAUAUUUUAAAACUCCGCAUCUACCAGUAGUGUAUUAACCUUUUAUGGGAUUAUAGUAACCUAAUCAUUUGGGUGUUGUAAACUUAUUAUAUGAUUGUACUUGGAUGUAUGAGAUGAGUAUUUCCUUGGAUGGGAGAGCUGAGCUUCAAUUGAAUUAUUUAUCAGAUUGAGGAUUGCAAGGGAG
Molecule: unclassified non-coding RNA, 359 nt
Filed under: Hevea brasiliensis (rubber tree)
Lineage: Eukaryota; Viridiplantae; Streptophyta; Magnoliopsida; Malpighiales; Euphorbiaceae
Source: RNAcentral